GGCGGCAGGCCUAACACAUGCAAGUCGAACGGAACCUUCGGGUUCAGUGGCGGACGGGUGAGUAACACGUGGGAACGUGCCCUAUGGUUCGGAAUAACUCAGGGAAACUUGAGCUAAUACCGGAUGAGCCCUACGGGGGAAAGAUUUAUCGCCAUAGGAGCGGCCCGCGUCUGAUUAGCUAGUUGGUGAGGUAAAGGCCUACCAAGGCGACGAUCUGUAGCUGGUCUGAGAGGACGACCAGCCACACUGGGACUGAGACACGGCCCAGACUCCUACGGGAGGCAGCAGUGGGGAAUUUUGGACAAUGGGGGAAACCCUGAUCCAGCAAUGCCGCGUGUGUGAAGAAGGCCUUCGGGUUGUAAAGCACUUUUGUCCGGAAAGAAAACUUCCGCCCUAAUACGGUGGGAGGCUGACGGUACCGGAAGAAUAAGCACCGGCUAACUACGUGCCAGCAGCCGCGGUAAUACGUAGGGUGCGAGCGUUAAUCGGAAUUACUGGGCGUAAAGCGUGCGCAGGCGGUUUGUUAA
This 527-nucleotide ribosomal RNA is filed under the name uncultured bacterium. RNAcentral describes it as "bacterial SSU rRNA". It matches the Rfam family "Bacterial small subunit ribosomal RNA", at positions 38 to 586 of the family's 1533-position model. The record is from RNAcentral.